CCGAAGGGUAGCUAGGGUUCCGGUCGUGCCAUGCGCGCGAUGGCUGGUCCGAGAGCGACCGGCCACCGGCACCUGAUCCGCCGGCGGCUCCACGGCGGGACAAAAGCCCGGGAGGU
This 116-nucleotide small RNA is filed under the name Cupriavidus necator. Its description in RNAcentral is "Ralstonia eutropha Guanidine-I sequence". It matches the Rfam family "Guanidine-I riboswitch aptamer". From Rfam's summary of the family: This family represents a conserved RNA structure found upstream of the ykkC and yxkD genes in Bacillus subtilis and related genes in other bacteria. The function of this family is unclear although it has been suggested that it may function to switch on efflux pumps and detoxification systems in response to harmful environmental molecules. The record is from RNAcentral. RNAcentral also lists the same sequence under 1 other name. Lineage: Bacteria; Pseudomonadati; Pseudomonadota; Betaproteobacteria; Burkholderiales; Burkholderiaceae.